Molecule: ribosomal RNA, 253 nt
Filed under: uncultured Phenylobacterium sp.
Lineage: Bacteria; Pseudomonadati; Pseudomonadota; Alphaproteobacteria; Caulobacterales; Caulobacteraceae
Description: partial 16S ribosomal RNA
Rfam family: Bacterial small subunit ribosomal RNA
Source: RNAcentral
UACGAAGGGGGCUAGCGUUGCUCGGAAUUACUGGGCGUAAAGGGCGCGUAGGCGGAUGAUUAAGUUGGGGGUGAAAGCCCGGGGCUCAACCUCGGAACUGCCUUCAAAACUGGUCAUCUUGAGUUCGGGAGAGGUGUGUGGAACUCCGAGUGUAGAGGUGAAAUUCGUAGAUAUUCGGAAGAACACCAGUGGCGAAGGCGACACACUGGCCCGAUACUGACGCUGAGGCGCGAAAGCGUGGGGAGCAAACAGG